This 305-nucleotide ribosomal RNA is filed under the name uncultured bacterium. Its description in RNAcentral is "bacterial SSU rRNA". It matches the Rfam family "Bacterial small subunit ribosomal RNA", at positions 334 to 652 of the family's 1533-position model. The record is from RNAcentral.
CACGGCCUACGGGGGGCAGCAGUGGGGAAUAUUGCGCAAUGGGCGAAAGCCUGACGCAGCAACGCCGCGUGAAGGAAGAAGGCUUUCGGGUUGUAAACUUCUUUUAAGAGGGACGAAGGAAGUGACGGUACCUCUUGAAUAAGCCACGGCUAACUACGUGCCAGCAGCCGCGGUAAUACGUAGGUGGCAAGCGUUAUCCGGAUUUAUUGGGUGUAAAGGGCGUGUAGGCGGGAGCGCAAGUCAGAUGUGAAAACUCAGGGCUCAACCCUGAGCCUGCAUUUGAAACUGUGUUUCUUGAGUGCUGG